RNAcentral lists this ribosomal RNA (459 nucleotides) under uncultured bacterium. RNAcentral's name for it is "partial 16S ribosomal RNA". It matches the Rfam family "Bacterial small subunit ribosomal RNA", at positions 338 to 795 of the family's 1533-position model. The record is from RNAcentral.
CCUACGGGAGGCAGCAGUGAGGAAUAUUGGUCAAUGGCCGAGAGGCUGAACCAGCCAAGUCGCGUGAGGGAAGAAUGUCCUAUGGAUUGUAAACCUCUUUUGUCAGGGAGCAAAGUCACCCACGUGUGGGUGUUGGAGUGUACCCGAAGAAAAAGCAUCGGCUAACUCCGUGCCAGCAGCCGCGGUAAUACGGAGGAUGCGAGCGUUAUCCGGAUUUAUUGGGUUUAAGGGGUGCGUAGGCGGGUUAUCAAGUCAGCGGUAAAAUCGUGGAGCUCAACUCAAUCCAGCCGUUGAAACUGAUGAUCUUGAGUGGGCGAGAGGUAUGCGGAAUGCGUGGUGUAGCGGUGAAAUGCAUAGAUAUCACGCAGAACUGCGAUUGCGAAGGCAGCAUACCAGCGCCCGACUGACGCUGAAGCACGAAAGCGUGGGUAUCAAACAGGAUUAGAUACCCCGGUAGUC